GGGGUUGUGGCUCAGUGGCAGAGCACUUGCCUAGCAUGUGUGAGGUACUGGGUUCGAUUCUCAGCACCA
Ictidomys tridecemlineatus (thirteen-lined ground squirrel) is the source of this 69-nucleotide non-coding RNA. The record is from Rfam. Lineage: Eukaryota; Metazoa; Chordata; Mammalia; Rodentia; Sciuridae.